GGAAUCUUCGGCAAUGGGGGCAACCCUGACCGAGCAACGCCGCGUGAGUGAAGAAGGUUUUCGGAUCGUAAAGCUCUGUUGUUAAAGAAGAACACGUAUGAGAGUAACUGUUCAUACGUUGACGGUAUUUAACCAGAAAGUCACGGCUAACUACGUGCCAG
Molecule: ribosomal RNA, 161 nt
Filed under: uncultured bacterium
Lineage: Bacteria
Description: partial 16S rRNA
Rfam family: Bacterial small subunit ribosomal RNA
Source: RNAcentral